RNAcentral lists this RNase P RNA (351 nucleotides) under Gammaproteobacteria bacterium. RNAcentral's name for it is "RNase P RNA component class A". It matches the Rfam family "Bacterial RNase P class A". Rfam says of the family: Ribonuclease P (RNase P) is a ubiquitous endoribonuclease, found in archaea, bacteria and eukarya as well as chloroplasts and mitochondria. Its best characterised activity is the generation of mature 5'-ends of tRNAs by cleaving the 5'-leader elements of precursor-tRNAs. The record is from RNAcentral. Lineage: Bacteria; Pseudomonadati; Pseudomonadota; Gammaproteobacteria.
AGAGUCAGCCGAGCAGUCGCCGGCGCACUUGUUGCGCGGGAGGAAAGUCCGGGCUCCAUAGGGCAGGGUGCCAGGUAACGCCUGGGGGGCGCGAGCCUACGGAAAGUGCAGCAGAGAGUAGACCGCCUGCAAACAUUGUUUGUCGGUAAGGGUGAAAGGGUGCGGUAAGAGCGCACCGCGCGCGUGGUAACACGUCGCGGCAAGGUAAACCCCACCUGGAGCAAGGCCAAAUAGAGAUCCAUCGACGUUGCCCGCGUUGGAUCCGGGUAGGCCGCUUGAGAUCGUCGGUGACGACGAUCCUAGAUGAAUGACUGUUCACGACAGAACCCGGCUUACAGGCUGACUCUCACU